GAUGAAGAACGUAGCGAAAUGCGAUAAGUAAUGUGAAUUGCAGAAUUCAGAGAAUCAUCGAAUCUUUGCACGCACAUUGCGCCCCUUGGUAUUCCGAGGGGCAUGCCUGUUCGAGCGUCAUUAUAACCCCUCAAGCUCAGCUUGGUGUUGGGGCCUGCUGCACUGGCAGCCCUUAAAAUCAGUGGCGGCGCCAUCUGGCUCUAAGCGUAGUAAUUCUUCUCGCUAUGGAGUCCUGGUGGAUGCUUGCCAUCAACCCCCAAUUUUUCUAUGGUUGACCUCGGAUCAGGUAGGGAUACCCGCUGAACUUAAGCAUAUCAAUAAGCGGAGGA
This 329-nucleotide unclassified non-coding RNA is filed under the name soil metagenome. RNAcentral's name for it is "partial contains 5.8S ribosomal RNA, internal transcribed spacer 2, and large subunit ribosomal RNA". The stretch from base 1 to 120 matches the Rfam family "5.8S ribosomal RNA", at positions 35 to 154 of the family's 154-position model. The record is from RNAcentral.